UUGGAGGGCAAGUCUGGUGCCAGCAGCCGCGGUAAUUCCAGCUCCAAUAGCGUAUAUUAAAGUUGUUGCAGUUAAAAAGCUCGUAGUUGAAUUUCGGGAUCAGAGUGUCGGUCGUGCCUCGGUACGCACUGGUAUUAUUGGUUCCUACCUUCUGAAGAGCCGCGAUGUCAUUAAUUUGGUGUCGUGGGGAAUCAGGACUGUUACUUUGAAAAAAUUAGAGUGUUUAAAGCAGGCUUACGCUUGAAUACAUUAGCAUGGAAUAAUGAAAUAGGACGUUCGAUCCUAUUUUGUUGGUUUCUAGGAUUGACGUAAUGAUUAAUAGGGAUAGUUGGGGGCAUUAGUAUUCAAUUGUCAGAGGUGAAAUUCUUGGAUUUAUUGAAGACUAACUACUGCGAAAGCAUUUGCCAAGGAUGUUUUCAUUAAUCAAGAACGAAAGUUAGGGGAUCGAAGACGAUCAGAUACCGUCGUAGUCUUAACCAUAAACUAUGCCGACUAGGGAUCGGAUGAUGUUAUUUUUAAUGACUCAUUCGGCGCCUUACGGGAAACCAAAGUGUUUGGGUAAUC
RNAcentral lists this ribosomal RNA (564 nucleotides) under uncultured Glomeromycotina. RNAcentral's name for it is "SSU rRNA". It matches the Rfam family "Eukaryotic small subunit ribosomal RNA", at positions 548 to 1114 of the family's 1831-position model. The record is from RNAcentral. Lineage: Eukaryota; Fungi; Glomeromycota.